Molecule: transfer RNA, 69 nt
Filed under: Megophrys gigantica
Lineage: Eukaryota; Metazoa; Chordata; Amphibia; Anura; Megophryidae
Description: tRNA-Pro
Rfam family: tRNA
About the family: Transfer RNA (tRNA) molecules are approximately 80 nucleotides in length. Their secondary structure includes four short double-helical elements and three loops (D, anti-codon, and T loops). Further hydrogen bonds mediate the characteristic L-shaped molecular structure. tRNAs have two regions of fundamental functional importance: the anti-codon, which is responsible for specific mRNA codon recognition, and the 3' end, to which the tRNAs corresponding amino acid is attached (by aminoacyl-tRNA synthetases). tRNAs cope with the degeneracy of the genetic code in two manners: having more than one tRNA (with a specific anti-codon) for a particular amino acid; and 'wobble' base-pairing, i.e. permitting non-standard base-pairing at the 3rd anti-codon position.
Source: RNAcentral
CGCGACUUAGUUAAAUUAUAAUGAUGGCUUUGGGGGCCAAGGAAAGAGGUUAGAGUCCUUUAGUCACGA